This 472-nucleotide ribosomal RNA is filed under the name uncultured bacterium. Its description in RNAcentral is "bacterial SSU rRNA". It matches the Rfam family "Bacterial small subunit ribosomal RNA", at positions 355 to 825 of the family's 1533-position model. The record is from RNAcentral.
UGGGGAAUUUUGGACAAUGGGGGCAACCCUGAUCCAGCCAUGCCGCGUGAGUGAAGAAGGCCUUCGGGUUGUAAAGCUCUUUCGGCCGGGAAGAAAUCGCUCAAGCUAAUACCUUGGGUGGAUGACGGUACCGGAAGAAGAAGCACCGGCUAAUUACGUGCCAGCAGCCGCGGUAAUACGUAGGGUGCGAGCGUUAAUCGGAAUUACUGGGCGUAAAGCGUGCGCAGGCGGCGCCAUAAGACAGAUGUGAAAUCCCCGGGCUUAACCUGGGAACUGCGUUUGUGACUGUGGUGCUCGAGUGCGGCAGAGGGGGGUGGAAUUCCACGUGUAGCAGUGAAAUGCGUAGAGAUGUGGAGGAACACCGAUGGCGAAGGCAGCCCCCUGGGUCGACACUGACGCUCAUGCACGAAAGCGUGGGGAGCAAACAGGAUUAGAUACCCGAGUAGUCCCUGAGCGGGCUGGCAAGGCGCAU